RNAcentral lists this long non-coding RNA (1499 nucleotides) under Meleagris gallopavo (turkey). RNAcentral describes it as "lncRNA (ENSMGAG00000020721.1)". Lineage: Eukaryota; Metazoa; Chordata; Aves; Galliformes; Phasianidae. The record is from RNAcentral.
GAGAGACCGAAUGGUUAUAAUGUUCCAAAAUAAAAGGCAGUUUUCUUUUGAAAAAGAGGCCGUGCCUAAAAGUUGAGUGUGGAAAAUGCUGCCUAUAGCCUUUUAUUAGCUUCAUUCACUCUAAUAUAUCUGCCUUGUAUGCCAAGAAAAGUAUAAACAAAUGGCAGGGUAUUGGUUUUUCAAUAGCAAGGUUUAAACCAAGGUUAUAAAAAACAUAUCCCAUCUGACUGUAUUUAUGAAACAAUUAAUAUUGUCAAUGUCUUUUCCAUCUCCUCCAAGUCACACUUACUACAUAAACUUUGAUAUAUCUCUAAGAGGAACAAAAAUACCAGCUGGAGAAUAAACAGGGCAAUGCGCCAGCACUAUUGGAAAGGGAAACGAUUUCCUUGUCUUCUUAUAAAAUGCCUUGAUAUUAAAAUAAACCAAGACGUAAUUCUCUUGAAUUUGCCUGUGAAGGCUUGGGUGAUAGCUGACGAAGGGUCUUGCUCUUAGCUUGUAAUGUUAGAAUCUAUAUGCAGUUAAUUAUUUUCUCGUACAGGACUUUUACACUGGCAGUAAGUCUCUGAUUCUACGUUCUACCCCCAGGACCACAGCGAUUUGGUAUCAGCCCUGGCCCUGAUUCUGCUCGUAUCUGCCGCCGUGCGCGAUGGGACCCGCCGGCCCCGAGUCCGCCAGCAGAGCGCCCGGCGCUGUCCGUGGUGCUGAAAGCACCGCUCCUAGGAGAGAGCGAACGGGCAGAGCGCACCUGCUGAACAGGCAGAACAGUCUGCAUGCCACAGGAGGGAUACCAAUGCCUGAGCUGUCUGAAUUUCUGAAGAGGAGAUGUCCUUUCACUGCCCCAGCCAAAAGAGGCAGAAGGAGCCCCCCGCAGUGUGCACAUCACUUGUGCUUCUUGGGAUUCCUGAAUCACUGAUCUUCUCUGAGGAGUAGCCUUCCCUGAGGACCAUCAGAAUAAAGAACUGCAAAGUGACAGUUCCUUGUAGCAUCAUCGCGGACCGACUCGGUUUGUCUCUCCUGCUCAGCUUUGCCCUGUGAGUGGCUGCUGGGACCACAGGCAGAUUAGGAGCCGACAGUCCUGCCCUGGAGCUGCCCCCUGCAUCGCUUCCUGCCCGUGCAUCUUAGUCCAGAACUGAGGAAUAUCCUCACUGCAACAGACUUGCUUUGACAAAUUCCUGAUAAGCUUUACUUUGAUGCCUUUAAAUAAAACAGAUGCUUAGAGGAAGAGAGUAUUCCUGCAUACUUCUGUACCUGGAUGAUCCCCCAUCCCCAGGAUGUGCUUUGCUGAUCUUAGGAUCAGAAAUCAUACAAUCAUCUUCUAUUUCUGCACCUCCCCGUUCAUCUGAACUGCUCCUUGCCAUGACAGGAAUGGCUGGAAAUGGUCACAUAGGAGAUGGCAUUCUGAAAAAGACACAUAUGCUGAGGGUACACAAUCUGUAACACGCCUGUUGUAGCCCAAAAUGUCACAUGGUUGGGUGUGUAGGAACUUUCCUUGGAUUCAU